Wasmannia auropunctata (little fire ant) is the source of this 272-nucleotide long non-coding RNA. RefSeq lists it as uncharacterized. Lineage: Eukaryota; Metazoa; Arthropoda; Insecta; Hymenoptera; Formicidae. The record is from RefSeq and is a predicted model, not a curated record. The transcript is spliced from 3 exons.
AGAUAAAACAGAUCAGUGUGCGUUUAAUGUUACGUUGGUUUCUGCACUUAAAUCCAAAAAAUUGACAAGUGAGGUUAUCGUAACCGUGUGUCUUUUUCUCGGAUCUCGGAUUAACGUGUUCGGAGGAUCUUUUACUCGAGGAGAAUUACUCCGUCGCAUAUUCGAUUCUUAUAAUUUGUAUACUUAUCGAUGUUCCGGUUAGAGGGUUAAAAUCGUACCACGAUGGAGAAUAUGGAGUUAGAUGCUUUGGAAAAGGAAUUUGUCACGUUGUC